RNAcentral lists this ribosomal RNA (253 nucleotides) under uncultured bacterium. RNAcentral describes it as "partial 16S ribosomal RNA". It matches the Rfam family "Bacterial small subunit ribosomal RNA", at positions 524 to 776 of the family's 1533-position model. The record is from RNAcentral.
UACGAAGGGUGCAAGCGUUAAUCGGAAUUACUGGGCGUAAAGCGUGCGUAGGUGGUUUGUUAAGUCUGCUGUGAAAGCCCUGGGCUCAACCUGGGAAUGGCGGUGGAUACUGACAAGCUAGAGUGCGGUAGAGGAGGGUGGAAUUCCCGGUGUAGCGGUGAAAUGCGUAGAGAUCGGGAGGAACAUCAGUGGCGAAGGCGGCCCUCUGGACCAGCACUGACGCUGAGGCGCGAAAGCUAGGGGAGCAAACGGG